RNAcentral lists this ribosomal RNA (161 nucleotides) under uncultured bacterium. RNAcentral describes it as "partial 16S ribosomal RNA". It matches the Rfam family "Bacterial small subunit ribosomal RNA", at positions 355 to 507 of the family's 1533-position model. The record is from RNAcentral. RNAcentral also lists the same sequence under 1 other name.
UGGGGAAUAUUGCGCAAUGGGCGAAAGCCUGACGCAGCAACGCCGCGUGAGGGAAGAAGGUCUUCGGAUCGUAAACCUCUGUCGGGAGGGAAGAACGGCAUGGGGUCGAACAGGCUCUGUGAUUGACGGUACCUCCAAAGGAAGCACCGGCUAACUCCGUG